RNAcentral lists this ribosomal RNA (397 nucleotides) under uncultured bacterium. RNAcentral's name for it is "bacterial SSU rRNA". It matches the Rfam family "Bacterial small subunit ribosomal RNA", at positions 29 to 410 of the family's 1533-position model. The record is from RNAcentral.
AACGAACGCUGGCGGCGUGCCCAAUACAUGCAAGUCGAACGAGAUAGUACCUUCGGGUAUGUGUAAAGUGGCAAACGGGUGAGUAAUACUUAGGUAACCUACCUUCUUGAUGGGGAUAACCUUCCGAAAGGAGGGCUAAUACCGAAUGAGACCACAGGGACUCUGGUCCAAGGGUUAAAGAUGGCCUCUAUUUAUAAGCUAUCGCAAGAAGAUGGGCUUAAGCACCAUUAGCUAGUUGGUAAGGUAACGGCUUACCAAGGCUUCGACGGUUAACUGAUCUGAGAGGUUGAUCAGUCACACUGGAACUGAGACACGGUCCAGACUCCUACGGGAGGCAGCAGUAGGGAAUAUUGCGCAAUGGAGGAAACUCUGACGCAGCGACGCCGCGUGGGCGAUG